GUCUGGCUGGCUCAGUCAGUAGAGCAUAUGACUCUAGAUUUCGAGUCAUGAGUUCAAGUCCCAUGUUGGGUG
Molecule: transfer RNA, 72 nt
Filed under: Mustela putorius furo (domestic ferret)
Lineage: Eukaryota; Metazoa; Chordata; Mammalia; Carnivora; Mustelidae
Rfam family: tRNA
About the family: Transfer RNA (tRNA) molecules are approximately 80 nucleotides in length.
Source: Rfam by way of RNAcentral